This is a long non-coding RNA of Amaranthus tricolor (Joseph's coat), 535 nucleotides long. RefSeq lists it as uncharacterized. The record is from RefSeq and is a predicted model, not a curated record. The transcript is spliced from 3 exons. Lineage: Eukaryota; Viridiplantae; Streptophyta; Magnoliopsida; Caryophyllales; Amaranthaceae.
UUACCGCAUUAUCUCCAUAUAAAGAAUUACUUCUAUUAUUCGAGCAACAUAACUUAGGUCGACGCAAACACAGGUAGAAAAAUAACGGGGAUCUGAAUAGCAGAGAGAGAAAGAGGAAGAACGAACGAAAAAAUGGGGUGGAGGAAAUUCGAUCCAUGGCCAGUUUUCUUCAAGAGAGAAUGGAAUCGCAAUUGGCCAUUCCUAACUGGUUUCGCCAUUACUGGUUACAUCAUUACCAAAGUUUCUCUCGGUCUUUCUGAGGAGGAUGCGAAGAACUCACCUUUUGUUCAAAGGCACAAAAGGCACUAGAGGCGGUUGAUGUAUGUUGUGCUUGGAUGGAAGCCUAUUUUCAGCUGAUGAAUAAAAAGGCGCUGGUGCUUAAGCUUUUCUUCUGAACUGAAGAUUUAUGGGUGGUUGUUUUUUCUUGAUAUUAGAACUGUUGAUUUGUAACAUGUACUGCUUUGAUAUUCAAGCACAUUAUAGUUGAAAUAUAGAUUCUGUUUCUGUAAUCUAAGCUAAUUUGCCCUUCCAUUCA